This 2905-nucleotide ribosomal RNA is filed under the name Triticum aestivum (bread wheat). Its description in RNAcentral is "partial small subunit ribosomal RNA". Lineage: Eukaryota; Viridiplantae; Streptophyta; Magnoliopsida; Poales; Poaceae. The record is from RNAcentral.
CAAGCGCUACGUCUAGCUCGCCGCCGCGAGGCUACCCUGGCCCUCGUCCUUCUGCCGCCGCUCGUGUAUUUUCCGCGCCCGCCGUGUGACGGGCCGGCUCUCCUCCUCGUCCUCCCCUCCGCGACUCCGCCCCGGUAUUCGCAGCCUGCGCGAGCGAGCGGGCGUUAGUUGCGCCUGCGUCGCCGGUAGGUACCGCCGAGCCCAGCUACGUCCUCCUGCUCCCCUCCUCGAGCACUCCCGGCCGUGGCCAUUACCUCGCCUCCGCCCACCUAGACCGCUAAGGCGUCCCCGACGCCGCUGCUCGCCGAGGCACACGCCGCUGGACGCCCCAAGUUCGCUGCCGACGGUACUUCCAACCCGCCGCCGAGAGAACAUCUCUUCCUUAUCUUCCUCUCCUUCUUCCUUAUCUUCCUCUCCUUCUUCCUUAUCUUCCUCUCCUUCUUCCGUCCAGUGAGUUUCUCGUAAGUAGAGGACGGGGGAGAGAGGAGACCGUACCGUACUACACGCGCCGACCUACACACUACACGCAGGUACAAGUACACUAGAAGUUCUGUCGUCCCUGGUUAACGUGGGAACGAAAACAAAGACAGGACACUUGGUCAGAUUCUACCGGAGAUUCUUCGUGAACCGACCAUGUCUCUUUAAAAGACAUCAGAAGUUUAUUUUGUAGGAUUAGAAGAUACUACACCAAAAAGCUCGUCCUUCCCCUCCACUACACGCGGUCAACAAAUUCUCGAGUUUAUCCUACACAUGACCUUGGAGUUCCUUUUACUUUUCUUCUCAUCCUCGUCCUCGACCUCUGCGUCGGCGUGUUCCAGCUUGGCCGGUGUAUCUAGGAAAAUAAGACGUUGAUACUGUUGAGACCGUUCUGGAAACAACUACACCGACGGAACUCCUUCGUACGAGUACAUGUACCGCUCUCCCCUACAUACAAAAAGUCAUCGGGCCGAUAACCUUCCGAAAAAUAUUUCCUGGAAAGAGACAAACCGUAUCUAAUUACUAAAACCAUGUAGGUAGGUAGGUUAGGUCUACGGCGACUACUUGUUUAUCACUAGGUCAAACCAGCCCAAUCUAUAUUCAAACCAGAGGCGAGCUCGAGGACAACAACGAACCUAAAAGGAAAAGGGGAGAGUAGGUUGGCGUCCCCGGACAAUAAAAAAAGUAGAUCUACUACAACACCAGCGGGCCGGCUAGUUUAGGAGCGCGUGUGUGUUGUUGAGUUGAGGUGCCAGACGUGCGUCGUCGAGUUGUGGUGCUUACGGAUUUCAACUUCGAGUGUACGACCUCACAAAUACGUGUAGACUUCAACCGUGUAAGUCAAGACGUAUAUAGCUUGUCGGAAGUUUUGAAGACUUUCGUAUCUCGACCUCUUGGUAGGAGAUCUGAGAGGACAUAGGGGUGUCUAAUAAAACGAAGGUUUGAAGACUAUUUGUGUCGUCGAAGGUUACGUUAAAGUGAACGGUCUACAACAAUAAGUCCUCCUCCUAAAGGCAUCAUAGGGACCCGACCUUAUCUUAAGGAACUAAACUGCAGUUCGUAACCGUUGACGUCUUAUGUAACAGAGCUCCUAAUAUGCUAAUAAUUUCGUGUAUGUAGCUUCAAAAUUAUAUCCGUCCAACGCACGUGUGCGUGGAGAAACGGGUCCACAUGAACUACUGUGUAUACGGGAAACAUACCGACCAUUUGUCUUCCACCAGUGCAACGACGUAAACUAACAACGCAUGUUCCUACUCUGACUCAUAUUACACGAACGUGUACGGUAGUUGAGUGAUGAGAAGGAUAAGAUUAAUUAAAAACAACAAGGAUUUGAACUAGAACAAGAUUACUAGUAAAUAGUACGUCAGAGAAGAUCGAAAAGUCUUUAGGCAGGGAACGUUCACUCCACCGACCCUACGGUUCUCACCCCUCCCAGUGGACUUAUGUGACAAUUCUCCACAUUUCCUUCACUUCACACUUGGGUCACAAAGAAAACUGAUGAGGUUCAGACUUUACUUAAGGUACUCCUCCUUUUCCGACUUAACUCACGAACUUUAUUUCCUCCUCGUAGGAUUCUUCGUCAGUCCAACCUCUUUUUCUAGUCUCAAAGUAGACAACACUUUCACCUUCCAUUAAUCUGCAGUCUUCUAAUGUUCCUUUCUAUUUCGCCUAUUUAAAUGUGCCUUAGUAUGGUGUACUCGAGUGUAGUGCCGGCAACAGGGUGCUGUGUCCAAGAACGGUUGGUACUAAGUAUCCUAUCCUUCACCACGAGAGAGGACCACGUUGCGUGCCCGUAAACACGAUCAUAGUGUUUUGUUGACUCUUGUCUGUUUGUCCGUUAACAUUGUAACAUACCCGUUCAGGUCGUGCCUUGAUCUAAUGUCCAGUUUUAGUUUCCUUGUAGUGAAGAGAGAAAAUUUGGAAUAUUCCACGUUACUAUGCGAUUCUGUUAACACAUAUUUUAACUUUUCUCAUUAUCUGUAACCGACGUUUGGUACGUCAAGUUCCGAGUUCAGUCUUAUUCAUCAUCAAUUAUCCGUACUCCUAAUUCCUGAAUGUUAUCGCCGAAACUGACCACAUCAGUACGGGAAGAAGAACGACCACACUGUUAGGAACUUCUAAAGGUGUCGUAAACCAAGUCCAUGAAAAACCAGGAACGCCCGAAAGGAGAUGUAAACCUUGUUUAGUUAUAUCUAGACUAUUAUACCAUGUCGCUUUUCUCACUUUGUCGUCGAUUAAUGUUCUCGAAGCGUCACACGUUAUAUCGAUGCUCUAGGACAGCAGACAACCUUAAAGUGAAAGCAUGCCAACCGGAACAAGAAACUUGUCAAGUGGAUGUUCUUCUAUCUAAACACACCGUGUACACAUUUAUACUGAAGUUGUACACUAAACUAGUGUAUAUAUUACAUGGACUAUGAAGCCUAGCCUG